AGAGUUUGAUCCUGGCUCAGAUUGAACGCUGGCGGCAGGCCUAACACAUGCAAGUCGAGCGGAUGAAGGGAGCUUGCUCCUGGAUUUAGCGGCGGACGGGUGAGUAAUGCCUAGGAAUCUGCCUGGUAGUGGGGGACAACUCCGGGAAACCCGAGCUAAUACCGCAUACGUCCUACGGGAGAAAGUGGGGGAUCUUCGGACCUCACGCUAUCAGAUGAGCCUAGGUCGGAUUAGCUUGUUGGUGAGGUAACGGCUCACCAAGGCUGCGAUCCGUAACUGGUCUGAGAGGAUGAUCAGUCACACUGGAACUGAGACACGGUCCAGACUCCUACGGGAGGCAGCAGUGGGGAAUAUUGGACAAUGGGCGCAAGCCUGAUCCAGCCAUGCCGCGUGCGUGAAGAAGGCCUUCGGGUUGUAAAGCACUUUUGUCCGGAAAGAAAAGCUUAGGGUUAAUAACCCUGAGUCAUGACGGUACCGGAAGAAUAAGCACCGGCUAACUUCGUGCCAGCAGCCGCGGUAAUACGAAGGGUGCAAGCGUUACUCGGAAUUACUGGGCGUAAAGCGUGCGUAGGUGGUUUGUUAAGUCUGAUGUGAAAGCCCUGGGCUCAACCUGGGAAUGGCAUUGGAAACUGGCUUACUAGAGUGCGGUAGAGGGUAGCGGAAUUCCCGGUGUAGCAGUGAAAUGCGUAGAUAUCGGGAGGAACAUCCGUGGCGAAGGCGGCUACCUGGACCAGCACUGACACUGAGGCACGAAAGCGUGGGGAGCAAACAGGAUUAGAUACCCUGGUAGUCCACGCCCUAAACGAUGCGAACUGGAUGUUGGGGGCAACUUGGCCCUCAGUAUCGAAGCUAACGCGUUAAGUUCGCCGCCUGGGAAGUACGGUCGCAAGACUGAAACUCAAAGGAAUUGACGGGGGC
RNAcentral lists this ribosomal RNA (918 nucleotides) under uncultured bacterium. RNAcentral's name for it is "bacterial SSU rRNA". It matches the Rfam family "Bacterial small subunit ribosomal RNA", at positions 8 to 920 of the family's 1533-position model. The record is from RNAcentral.